CCUACGGGUGGCAGCAGUGGGGAAUAUUGGACAAUGGGGGGAACCCUGAUCCAGCCAUGCCGCGUGUGUGAAGAAGGCCCUCGGGUUGUAAAGCACUUUCAGUGAGGAAGAACGCCUGGUGGUUAAUACCCAUCAGGAAAGACAUCACUCACAGAAGAAGCACCGGCUAACUCCGUGCCAGCAGCCGCGGUAAUACGGAGGGUGCGAGCGUUAAUCGGAAUUACUGGGCGUAAAGCGCGCGUAGGUGGCUUGAUAAGCCGGUUGUGAAAGCCCCGGGCUCAACCUGGGAACGGCAUCCGGAACUGUCAAGCUAGAGUGCAGGAGAGGAAGGUAGAAUUCCCGGUGUAGCGGUGAAAUGCGUAGAGAUCUGGAGGAAUACCAGUGGCGAAGGCGGCCUUCUGGACUGACACUGACACUGAGGUGCGAAAGCGUGGGUAGCAAACAGGAUUAGAUACCCUAGUAGUC
This 465-nucleotide ribosomal RNA is filed under the name Vreelandella stevensii. RNAcentral describes it as "partial 16S ribosomal RNA". It matches the Rfam family "Bacterial small subunit ribosomal RNA", at positions 338 to 795 of the family's 1533-position model. The record is from RNAcentral. Lineage: Bacteria; Pseudomonadati; Pseudomonadota; Gammaproteobacteria; Oceanospirillales; Halomonadaceae.